AUUUCUGAAGAAAGGUCAACUGCAGAGAAUUUGGGAUGGCAAAAUCUUCAAGAAACACACGCUUCAGUUUCUCUAAACUCAGGAGAAAUCCAUCAGCAGCUGACAGGAGGUUCUGCAUGACGUGGAUCAGCACGAUGGUAAAAAGACAAGUGGAGAAGCAAACUGCAGAACUGCGUAGAGAGUUUUCUCUCAUGAAUCAGGCCCUGAGAGAGGAGAUGGCAGCUGAGCUUCAGGAACAGCUGAGAGAACUAUUGUUGGAAGAAACAGACAAGACACCAUUGUGCUGCAGCAAGCUGGGCUCGGACCUGAGGUUGGCGUCGAGGUGGCAAAGGGAAAUGGCGGGAGGAUUCGAAAACACUGACGAAGACUACGAAGAUGGGGAGAUACCAAAAACAUUAGCCUUUUCUGAAACACAAUGACACAAACAGCAUGUUCAUAUUGAGAAAAAGCCUGAAAGAGGAAUCCUUAAAGAUUUCAUUGACCAGUGAUUCCAGUGACACUGACUCAACAGAAAACAGAAACAUCUCCAAAGAUGUACAAGGGAAGCCAGACUCAGGUACAUGCAAGCAACAGAAAAAUCAGAGCUCUUCCUCAGAUGUCACUCCUAUCUGGGACAGCGCCGCUAAUCACUUCUGCACUACGCAAAGCUUCAUUUCCAGUGAAUUCAGCCAUGAGAGUAAGGAUGAUAGUGGAAGAGAGGCUUUGAUGAUGGACAACCAGUGGAAGGAAUGGUUGGACAAGCAGGAAAUGAAAGGAUACAGCCACAAAAAAAAGCCAGUUAAAAGUCAAAACAAUAUGGAAAAACAGGGAACGGCAGCAUCUGGUGUACCAGAGGGAAAAAAAGGAUCAAAACUUGAAAAGGGGUGACACAAUGAAGAGAUUUAAGACAUAUAUCAGUGAUGUCUUUAGCUCUCAUGCAUCGCAUAAGUGGAAGAAGUUUGAAAAUGAAGAUGCUUCCAUGUUUCCUGCGUGCAGACUCUCGUGUUUUAUUAGUAUUAUUAUAAAAACAAAAAAAUAACUGAUAAAAACUGAGCAUACAAUAAACUAACUUGUGCAUUACGAGUAUAGUC
Long non-coding RNA from Haplochromis burtoni (Burton's mouthbrooder), 1070 nucleotides. RefSeq lists it as uncharacterized. The transcript is spliced from 3 exons. NCBI's taxonomy places the organism in Eukaryota, Metazoa, Chordata, Actinopteri, Cichliformes, Cichlidae. The record is from RefSeq and is a predicted model, not a curated record.